UACGUAGGGUGCAAGCGUUGUCCGGAAUUAUUGGGCGUAAAGAGCUCGUAGGCGGUCUGUCGCGUCUGCUGUGAAAACUCGGGGCUUAACCCCGGGCCUGCAGUGGGUACGGGCAGACUAGAGUGCGGUAGGGGUGACUGGAAUUCCUGGUGUAGCGGUGGAAUGCGCAGAUAUCAGGAGGAACACCGAUGGCGAAGGCAGGUCACUGGGCCGCAACUGACGCUGAGGAGCGAAAGCAUGGGGAGCGAACAGG
This 253-nucleotide ribosomal RNA is filed under the name uncultured bacterium. RNAcentral's name for it is "partial 16S ribosomal RNA". It matches the Rfam family "Bacterial small subunit ribosomal RNA", at positions 524 to 776 of the family's 1533-position model. The record is from RNAcentral.